AAACUAACUUCAUAUUCCUCAUCGAUUGGGUUAGGCUGGACGGUAUGGGGACCGUCCAGCAACGUCGACCUUGAGACGCCGCCCCCUCUCCAUUUCGACCCCCCCCGUCGCCGUUCCUCCAUCGUCGCCAUCGUCGGGUUCUCGACGCCAAGGACGGUCCUCCCCCCCUCUCUCACUCACCAAUAAACCCCCAAAUCCAAAAUCAAACCCUUCUUCCGGAGCCACAAUCGGUGAAGCUGAGCACGUAAUUGAAACAUUUCUCCGGUGAAGAAAGGUGCGAUGGAAGUCGGUGGUGGUGUAGGUACGACCGGUGGCGGUGGUGGACCUGAACGACGGCGAUGUGAUAGGGUUUGUGUCUAACUUGACGGAGGUGGUGGUGUUUCUUUCAAAUCAACCGGUGAAAGUUUGCACCUUUUACUUCUGGGUAGAUUGUUUAAACCCUUGAAGUUCUUCACCCACAUACAUAUAUCUGUCAUAUUAAGUUUGUGAUUCACUUGACCUGAUGAUAAUGAAAUUGGGUUUUCAUUUCAUCCUCUUUUACCCUUUAAUUUUGAUGUUGCAGACGGAUGUUUGAGUAGGGUUAUGGGGUUUUUUUUUGUGUCUGUAAUUAUUAAAGGAAUUGAGAUAAAGCAUCAAGAUUCUCAAUUUGGUAGUUUAUUCUAUGUGAUUGUGAUUGUGUUGUUUGGUUAAGUUGGUGGUAUAGGAUCAUCCUCCCGUUUCCAGUGUUUUACCAUGGUGGAUCAUCCUCUAAGGUACUACGUACGGAUUGUGUUAAUACAAGAGAUGUUGAGGCGUGUUAGUCCACUGUCGAAGCUGAUUUCUGCGGCUAAACCUUCGCUACUUAAUCAUGUGAGAUGGCUUUACGAGUUGAGGGGCUAGGAGUCGGGGGAGAAACAUCAAUAGAAGAAUUCAUAAUCGCCCCUGCAAAUGAUCUCGAACAGGAUCAAGACAAAGCUGCGAAAAUCAAGUUGUACAGUCACGAAGCAGGGGUCUAAUGAUUGCUCGACUCCUUACGGAUCCGAUGGUGCCGGGAAUUCAUAAUCGCCCCUGCAAACUACAAGUGUCGAGAAAGACAUGAUUCAGCCUGCUUCUCAUGGCAGUAUUCGAUUACAAGUGUCGUGAAAGAGAGUGUCGGUAGAGAAGGUGAUGAUUACGGAUCCGAUGGUGCCGGGAAUGAUUCUUAGGAUUUUUUUUUUUUUAAGUUUAUGUUUUUUUUUAACUUAUGUAAUGUUUUUUAAUAUUUUAAUGAAUUUAUUUUUCUAUCUUAUUUAA
Helianthus annuus (common sunflower) is the source of this 1272-nucleotide long non-coding RNA. RefSeq lists it as uncharacterized. The transcript is spliced from 2 exons. The record is from RefSeq and is a predicted model, not a curated record. NCBI's taxonomy places the organism in Eukaryota, Viridiplantae, Streptophyta, Magnoliopsida, Asterales, Asteraceae.